RNAcentral lists this small RNA (100 nucleotides) under Salmonella enterica subsp. enterica serovar Heidelberg. RNAcentral's name for it is "partial RtT sRNA". It matches the Rfam family "RtT RNA", at positions 33 to 130 of the family's 130-position model. From Rfam's summary of the family: This family represents a bacterial cis-regulatory element known as RtT RNA. The record is from RNAcentral. RNAcentral also lists the same sequence under 7 other names. Lineage: Bacteria; Pseudomonadati; Pseudomonadota; Gammaproteobacteria; Enterobacterales; Enterobacteriaceae.
CGACUAAGGUUCGAUUCGAGCGUCAGCGAGAAAGCGUUGCCGCAGGCAACGACCCGAAGGGCGAAGCGCGCAGCGCUGAGUCAUCCUUCCCCCACCACCA